This 988-nucleotide ribosomal RNA is filed under the name uncultured bacterium. RNAcentral's name for it is "bacterial SSU rRNA". It matches the Rfam family "Bacterial small subunit ribosomal RNA", at positions 324 to 1314 of the family's 1533-position model. The record is from RNAcentral.
ACACGGACCAGACUCCUACGGGAGGCAGCAGUGAGGAAUAUUGGUCAAUGGUCGAGAGACUGAACCAGCCAAAUCGCGUGAAGGACGACGGCCCUAUGGGUUGUAAACUUCUUUUACAGGGGAAUAAAGUGCUCCACGUGUGGAGUUUUGUAUGUACCCUGUGAAUAAGCAUCGGCUAACUCCGUGCCAGCAGCCGCGGUAAUACGGAGGAUGCGAGCGUUAUCCGGAUUUAUUGGGUUUAAAGGGUGCGUAGGCGGGACCAUAAGUCAGCGGUGAAAGUUUUCGGCUCAACCGGAAAAUUGCCGUUGAAACUGUGGUUCUUGAGUGCAGAAGAGGUAGGCGGAAUUCGUUGUGUAGCGGUGAAAUGCGUAGAUAUAACGAAGAACACCAAUUGCGUAGGCAGCUUACCAUACUGCAACUGACGCUGAGGCACGAAAGUGUGGGUAUCAAACAGGGUUAGAUACCCUGGUAGUCCACACAGUAAACGAUGAAUACUAGCUGUUUGCGAUAUACAGCAAGCGGCCGAGCGAAAGCAUUAAGUAUUCCACCUGGGGAGUACGCCGGCAACGGUGAAACUCAAAGGAAUUGACGGGGGCCCGCACAAGCGGAGGAACAUGUGGUUUAAUUCGAUGAUACGCGAGGAGCCUUACCCGGGCUUGAAUUGCAUCUGAAUGUAGUGGAAACAUUACAGCUAGCAAUAGCAGAUGUGAAGGUGCUGCAUGGUUGUCGUCAGCUCGUGCCGUGAGGCGUCGGCUUAAGUGCCAUAACGAGCGCAACCCUCAUCACUAGUUACCAUCAGGUCAAGCUGGGGACUCUAGUGAGACUGCCGGCGUAAGCUGUGAGGAAGGUGGGGAUGACGUCAAAUCAGCACGGCCCUUACGUCCGGGGCGACACACGUGUUACAAUGGAGGGUACAGCGGGAAGCUACCUGGCGACAGGAUGCCAAUCUUAAAAACCCUUCUCAGUUCGGAUCGGAGUCUGCAACUCG